This 2109-nucleotide ribosomal RNA is filed under the name Salmonella enterica subsp. enterica serovar Bareilly. RNAcentral's name for it is "partial 23S ribosomal RNA". It matches the Rfam family "Bacterial large subunit ribosomal RNA", at positions 711 to 2802 of the family's 2925-position model. Lineage: Bacteria; Pseudomonadati; Pseudomonadota; Gammaproteobacteria; Enterobacterales; Enterobacteriaceae. The record is from RNAcentral.
AGACCCGAAACCCGGUGAUCUAGCCAUGGGCAGGUUGAAGGUUGGGUAACACUAACUGGAGGACCGAACCGACUAAUGUUGAAAAAUUAGCGGAUGACCUGUGGCUGGGGGUGAAAGGCCAAUCAAACCGGGAGAUAGCUGGUUCUCCCCGAAAGCUAUUUAGGUAGCGCCUCGUGAAUUCAUCUCCGGGGGUAGAGCACUGUUUCGGCUAGGGGGCCAUCCCGGCUUACCAACCCGAUGCAAACUGCGAAUACCGGAGAAUGUUAUCACGGGAGACACACGGCGGGUGCUAACGUCCGUCGUGAAGAGGGAAACAACCCAGACCGCCAGCUAAGGUCCCAAAGUCAUGGUUAAGUGGGAAACGAUGUGGGAAGGCCCAGACAGCCAGGAUGUUGGCUUAGAAGCAGCCAUCAUUUAAAGAAAGCGUAAUAGCUCACUGGUCGAGUCGGCCUGCGCGGAAGAUGUAACGGGGCUAAACCAUGCACCGAAGCUGCGGCAGCGACACUCAGGUGUUGUUGGGUAGGGGAGCGUUCUGUAAGCCUGCGAAGGUGGCCUGUGAGGGUUGCUGGAGGUAUCAGAAGUGCGAAUGCUGACAUAAGUAACGAUAAAGCGGGUGAAAAGCCCGCUCGCCGGAAGACCAAGGGUUCCUGUCCAACGUUAAUCGGGGCAGGGUGAGUCGACCCCUAAGGCGAGGCCGAAAGGCGUAGUCGAUGGGAAACGGGUUAAUAUUCCCGUACUUGGUGUUACUGCGAAGGGGGGACGGAGAAGGCUAUGUUGGCCGGGCGACGGUUGUCCCGGUUUAAGCGUGUAGGCUGGUUUUCCAGGCAAAUCCGGAAAAUCAAGGCUGAGGCGUGACGACGAGGCACUACGGUGCUGAAGCAACAAAUGCCCUGCUUCCAGGAAAAGCCUCUAAGCAUCAGGUAACAUCAAAUCGUACCCCAAACCGACACAGGUGGUCAGGUAGAGAAUACCAAGGCGCUUGAGAGAACUCGGGUGAAGGAACUAGGCAAAAUGGUGCCGUAACUUCGGGAGAAGGCACGCUGACACGUAGGUGAAGUGAUUUACUCACGGAGCUGAAGUCAGUCGAAGAUACCAGCUGGCUGCAACUGUUUAUUAAAAACACAGCACUGUGCAAACACGAAAGUGGACGUAUACGGUGUGACGCCUGCCCGGUGCCGGAAGGUUAAUUGAUGGGGUCAGCGCAAGCGAAGCUCCUGAUCGAAGCCCCGGUAAACGGCGGCCGUAACUAUAACGGUCCUAAGGUAGCGAAAUUCCUUGUCGGGUAAGUUCCGACCUGCACGAAUGGCGUAAUGAUGGCCAGGCUGUCUCCACCCGAGACUCAGUGAAAUUGAACUCGCUGUGAAGAUGCAGUGUACCCGCGGCAAGACGGAAAGACCCCGUGAACCUUUACUAUAGCUUGACACUGAACAUUGAGCCUUGAUGUGUAGGAUAGGUGGGAGGCUUUGAAGCGUGGACGCCAGUCUGCGUGGAGCCGACCUUGAAAUACCACCCUUUAAUGUUUGAUGUUCUAACGUGGACCCGUAAUCCGGGUUGCGGACAGUGUCUGGUGGGUAGUUUGACUGGGGCGGUCUCCUCCUAAAGAGUAACGGAGGAGCACGAAGGUUGGCUAAUCCUGGUCGGACAUCAGGAGGUUAGUGCAAUGGCAUAAGCCAGCUUGACUGCGAGCGUGACGGCGCGAGCAGGUGCGAAAGCAGGUCAUAGUGAUCCGGUGGUUCUGAAUGGAAGGGCCAUCGCUCAACGGAUAAAAGGUACUCCGGGGAUAACAGGCUGAUACCGCCCAAGAGUUCAUAUCGACGGCGGUGUUUGGCACCUCGAUGUCGGCUCAUCACAUCCUGGGGCUGAAGUAGGUCCCAAGGGUAUGGCUGUUCGCCAUUUAAAGUGGUACGCGAGCUGGGUUUAGAACGUCGUGAGACAGUUCGGUCCCUAUCUGCCGUGGGCGCUGGAGAACUGAGGGGGGCUGCUCCUAGUACGAGAGGACCGGAGUGGACGCAUCACUGGUGUUCGGGUUGUCAUGCCAAUGGCACUGCCCGGUAGCUAAAUGCGGAAGAGAUAAGUGCUGAAAGCAUCUAAGCACGAAACUUGCCCCGA